Molecule: long non-coding RNA, 958 nt
Organism: Marmota monax (woodchuck)
Lineage: Eukaryota; Metazoa; Chordata; Mammalia; Rodentia; Sciuridae
Exons: 4
Source: RefSeq, a predicted model, not a curated record
GAUCUGAAAUAGAAAUGGGUUUCAGAGACCAAAAAAGCUGUGGGAAUGCCCCUGGGAGACAUAUGUGGUGUCCAACAGGCUCAUCUUCCUUUCUGUACUUUUGCAUGCACUGAUCUCCUGGGACUAGGACCUCAUCUGCAGUAGCUUGGGGAUGCCAAGACCUGAUAGGUGCUUAUACCGAAAUCUCCAAUCCUAUCCAUAAAGGAAGUCAUUUCUGUGGCUUUAAGGAUCCUGCUCAGCAACCCUCAGCCCUGCCACUGCUUCUUCUGAUCUAGAGGCCAAAGUCAUGGACCAAUCACUCCUGUGUCAAGCAGGCUCUGGAAUCUACAGAGUGACAGAGACAGAAUGAAGAGAGAAGAGAGGAUGGAGGAGUGCUGCAAGUGAUAGGAGACAGAGCUCUGAUUCUGAGCUGUGCUGUGGACUGGACAUUGGAGCCUUAGAGAUGGUCUCCUUUGGUGGACAGAGGAGCAGGGAGUUGAGAUGGACCAGCACCGAGUUCAAGACCAUCCAGCAGCCAAUGGCUGAAACCUCUCAGGAGCUCUAGUCACCUCAAAUAUCUGCAAACACUAUGGUCAGUGGGACCAAUGGGUCCUGAACUUCCCAGGAGGUGCCAGUGCCUGGACAAUUGGACAAACACACACUCAGGCUUUCUCUUGGAGCCCAGGAUGUCCCCAGAAGCUGCUGAAAACUGAAGCUUACAUCCCAGAGGAACCCAGAAAGGAAAGGAAUCUCAUCUUGAGGAUGCCUUGCAGUACAAUGCCCUUCAGCCAAAGCCCUAGAAGGAACCUGAAAUACACCACUGGGGACCCUCAUACUGUCCCUGUGGACUCAUGCACUGGGACUAUGCCCUGCAUGCCUAGGCACUUUGAAGUCUUGGCUGUGGUGAUCAUCCCUCAUUUUGUUCUUUCUCUCUGAAAUGAUUUAAAGGUUCUUGAAUAAAAAAAAAUUCUUUGUGUAA